CCUACGGGUGGCUGCAGUGGGGAAUAUUGCACAAUGGGGGAAACCCUGAUGCAGCGACGCCGCGUGAGUGAAGAAGUAAUUCGUUAUGUAAAGCUCUAUCAGCAAGGAAGAAAAUGACGGUACCUGACCAAGAAGCCCCGUCUAACUACGUGCCAGCAGCCGCGGUAAUACGGAGGGGGCAAGCGUUAUCCGGAUUUACUGGGUGUAAAGGGAGCGUAGACGGUGAGGCAAGUCUGGAGUGAAAUGCCGGAGCAUAACUCCGGAACUGCUUUGGAAACUGGCUAACUGGAGUGCGGGAGGGGUAGGCGGAAUGCCUGGUGUAGCGGUGAAAUGCGUAGAUAUUAGGAGGAACACCGGUGGCGAAGGCGGCUUACUGGACCGAAACUGACGUUGAGGCUCGAAAGCGUGGGGAGCAAACAGGAUUAGAUACCCCAGUAGUC
This 440-nucleotide ribosomal RNA is filed under the name uncultured bacterium. RNAcentral's name for it is "partial 16S ribosomal RNA". It matches the Rfam family "Bacterial small subunit ribosomal RNA", at positions 338 to 795 of the family's 1533-position model. The record is from RNAcentral.